CUAAAUUAAAUUAAUGUUCGAUGAUACAAAAUUUAAUCUAAAACACUCAAACACCGAAAUCAAUUUAAAUCCACAACAUUUGCAGUCUUAUAGAUGGUCAUGUAAAUAAGAUAUUUGGAUUCGACAAAUUCAAAAUAGAAAUGUGAAAUAUCGGGCCGAUCAAGGAAACUUCAAACGCCAGUAGUUCUUCCGUCUUGAUUCUCGACUAUUGAUGGUGUGGAUAGUGGAGGAUGGAAGUAAAAGGAGAAAUCAUAUCCACAUGCAGAGCUGUAGUCAACAUAACCGCAUAACCGAAAUACGGAUCAAUCAGAAACAAAAUCUCAUCGAGAUGCACAAAGUUCGAGUCAAUAAAGAUUAUUUGAUAUAACUUAUGUAACUACCAAAAGAUAAUAUUUUAUAUAUAAUAUAAGAAAAAGAUAUUCGAAUACCAAAUUAUGACGUGGGACCGGAAUAAAUCGUAAAAAUACCAAUAAAAUGUAAUACCGCUAUCUCCAUAAUAUCCGAUAUCAGUCGUAUCAAGUGCUGGGUGAAUCGGUUAAUGAUGUACAAUACACAGACCUACAUUUUAGGAGAUACUUAACCAGAAAACGGUGGAAUGAUGGGACGAAGAACUCCGUAACAACAUCUCAAGUAAUUUUAAUUUCAGGCUCUUUUAACAAUUUUUAAAUCACACAACAACAUAGACCGUUUUCAGACGAUUUGCUUCGGAAGUCGUUUUCGCCACAACAUAAAAUCGUCAAACAAAAGCGUGUUAUUUCAGAGUACCAGAAACCUGAUUCAAUUUCAAAUAAUAUGGUUUAAUAUUUAAAAAACCUCCGCUUCAAGACACAUUUCGUGCCGAUGAUGAUACAUAAUUAUUAUGAACGCUAAUUACAUAUUAUAAUUAUUUACAUGUCUGCAGGGAUCGUCCAUAUAAUAACCGAAAAUAUUACAACAACUGUGUAUUAGGAUGAUACUGCUAUAAUAUUAUAACAUUAAUAUAGGUAGAAUGAUAAAUGAUUUUGUACUUUACAAUUAGUAAAAAAAUAUUUAGGUCUAUACAUGUUUGCUUCAAAGUUCCAUCUUGUUUAUAUCGUUCCAUUGUCCAUUUCAAUGCACCCCAUGACAUCACCAUGUAUACGCACAACGAACCCUUAAGGCCUCUAGAUCGAUUGCGAAUGCAAAUGCUAUACCUUAAAUGAUUUUUUUAUGGAUCUAUAAUUUUAAAUAAUUUCUUUAUUAUAAAUUAUUGUAAUUGUAUAUUAUAUGCUAUCUUAAAUUUUGUUUGUUAUAUUAAUAGUCAUAUUGGACCUUGUUUAACAAUGGUGCAAUAGUAGUUCAACAAUAAUGUAUUUUUGUUGGUAUUCAUAGAUGAUAAACUUUACUUAAACCCUAGACUGAGUUUAACGAUAAACCUUUGAUUUAAAAACUAGGCAAAUACGAGGUUUAAUGCUGGAUUAUUGUAAAAACCACUGUUAUCUUAUUAUCAUUUAAUUUAUUAAUGUUUUGAAAACUUGUGCACUUUAUACCUAAGAAUAAUGAAUAUUGCUAAUGUACAAAAUGUUAGACGCAUAAGGAAUUUAAGCAAUUUCUCCCAACCACUUUCUCCCAGUUAACUCUUUUUUGUUUAUACAUCGCAAAAAACAAUUACGCGAUUUAAAUUAUAAUUUUGAAUAAAUAACAUACAAUUAAUAAACUU
Molecule: long non-coding RNA, 1678 nt
Organism: Rhopalosiphum maidis (corn leaf aphid)
Lineage: Eukaryota; Metazoa; Arthropoda; Insecta; Hemiptera; Aphididae
Exons: 4
Source: RefSeq, a predicted model, not a curated record